GUGAAGAACGUAGCGAAAUGCGAUAAGUAAUGUGAAUUGCAGAAUUCAGUGAAUCAUCGAAUCUUUGAACGCACCUUGCACCCUUUGGCAUUCUGAAGGGUAUGCUCGUUUGAGUGUCAUUGUACUCUCACACUCCCGAUCUUUGCAUUGGGAGCAGUGGACUUGGGUUUGCUGCUUCACCGUCGCUUACCUCAAAUAGGUUAGUGCAACUCUUGGUUGGACAUAGUACGGCGUGAUAAGUGUUCUUCGCCGGUGCCUCGCAAAGAGGGUGGCCGAUCGGGAUGUUGUGCUCCAAACCGUCUUCGGACAAUCUCUGACGACUUGACCUCAAAUCGAGUAAGACUACCCGCUGAACUUAAGCAUAUCAAUAAGCGGAGGA
This 379-nucleotide unclassified non-coding RNA is filed under the name soil metagenome. RNAcentral's name for it is "partial contains 5.8S ribosomal RNA, internal transcribed spacer 2, and large subunit ribosomal RNA". The stretch from base 2 to 119 matches the Rfam family "5.8S ribosomal RNA", at positions 37 to 154 of the family's 154-position model. The record is from RNAcentral.